UACGGAGGGGACUAGCGUUGUUCGGAAUUACUGGGCGUAAAGCGCACGUAGGCGGAUUUGUAAGUCAGGGGUGAAAUCCCGGGGCUCAACCUCGGAACUGCCUUUAAUACUGCCAAUCUAGAGUCCGAGAGAGGUGAGUGGAAUUCCGAGUGUAGAGGCGAAAUUCGUAGAUAUUCGGAGGAACACCAGUGGCGAAGGCGGCUCACUGGCUCGGUACUGACGCUGAGGUGCGAAAGCGUGGGGAGCAAACAGG
Molecule: ribosomal RNA, 253 nt
Filed under: uncultured bacterium
Lineage: Bacteria
Description: partial 16S ribosomal RNA
Rfam family: Bacterial small subunit ribosomal RNA
Source: RNAcentral